GCACAUGUGGCGGAAUUGGUAGACGCGUUAGCUUGAGGGGUUAAUGUCCAUUUGGACGUGCAGGUUCAACUCCUGUCAUGUGCACAA
This 87-nucleotide transfer RNA is filed under the name Aureibaculum algae. RNAcentral describes it as "Flavobacteriaceae bacterium 10Alg115 tRNA-Leu". It matches the Rfam family "tRNA". From Rfam's summary of the family: Transfer RNA (tRNA) molecules are approximately 80 nucleotides in length. The record is from RNAcentral. Lineage: Bacteria; Pseudomonadati; Bacteroidota; Flavobacteriia; Flavobacteriales; Flavobacteriaceae.